AAUUUACUUCUCCCGUUUCAAAAUUCUUAUCUUAGAUUUGUCUACAUAUGAAUGCAUCUAGUCACAUUUUAGUAUUUAGAUACAUUCAAUUUUUAAACAAAUCUAAGAUAAGAACUUUGAGACGGAGGAAGUACAAC
Hordeum vulgare subsp. vulgare (domesticated barley) is the source of this 137-nucleotide non-coding RNA. Lineage: Eukaryota; Viridiplantae; Streptophyta; Magnoliopsida; Poales; Poaceae. The record is from Rfam.